GGCUUUGUGGUGCAGUGGGUAGCACGGUCAUCUCACAACAAGAAGGCCGGGGGUUCGAAUCUCGGUUUGGGGCCU
Molecule: transfer RNA, 75 nt
Filed under: Anguilla anguilla (European eel)
Lineage: Eukaryota; Metazoa; Chordata; Actinopteri; Anguilliformes; Anguillidae
Description: tRNA-OTHER
Source: RNAcentral